RNAcentral lists this microRNA precursor (86 nucleotides) under Cephalotus follicularis. Its description in RNAcentral is "mir-160 microRNA precursor family". It matches the Rfam family "mir-160 microRNA precursor family". Rfam says of the family: The hairpin precursors (represented here) are predicted based on base pairing and cross-species conservation -- their extents are not known. In this case the mature sequence is excised from the 5' arm of the hairpin. The record is from Rfam by way of RNAcentral. Lineage: Eukaryota; Viridiplantae; Streptophyta; Magnoliopsida; Oxalidales; Cephalotaceae.
AAAUGCCUGGCUCCCUGUAUGCCAUUUGCAAAGCCCAUCAGGAAAUCGGUGGCCUUCGUGGAUGGCGUGCGAGGAGCCAUGCAUGU